AGAAACAACAAGGGAUGGGGAGACAUGAAAAGCAUGGGAGCCAAGACUUAAGAAAAAUAGAUCUGGAAAGAGAAAAGGGACCUGACCCAGGAAUGCACGUUCACUUGCUGAAGAACCCUUGAUAAUUGAUGGCUGUUGGGAAGGAAGUGUCAGCUUCAAGGUUGUGGUUUCUGAGAAGCCAUCCAUGUCCUACGAGAUGAUCCUACACCCACACAUAUACAGCAGCAUUUUGUGGACUUGGGACUUUAUGGACUUGGAAAGGAAUAAUGGUGAAGUUUAUAAAGCAGGAAAUGGGGGUAAAUGUGAUCGAGUGUAUUUUAUACAUGUGUUGAAUUUUUAAGCAAUAAAGAUAAAUAAACUGUUAUGGAGCAUCACAUAGUAGGGCAAAA
Molecule: long non-coding RNA, 389 nt
Organism: Mastomys coucha (southern multimammate mouse)
Lineage: Eukaryota; Metazoa; Chordata; Mammalia; Rodentia; Muridae
Exons: 2
Source: RefSeq, a predicted model, not a curated record